GUGAGGAAUAUUGGUCAAUGGGCGAGAGCCUGAACCAGCCAAGUCGCGUGAAGGAAGAAGGAUCUAUGGUUCGUAAACUUCUUUUGCAGGGGAAUAAAGUGCAGGACGUGUCCUGUUUUGUAUGUACCCUGAGAAUAAGGAUCGGCUAACUCCGUGCCAGCAGCCGCGGUAAUACGGAGGAUCCGAGCGUUAUCCGGAUUUAUUGGGUUUAAAGGGUGCGUAGGUGGUUUGAUAAGUCAGCGGUGAAAGUUUGCAGCUUAACUGUAAAAAUGCCGUUGAAACUGUCGGACUUGAGUGUAAAUGAGGUAGGCGGAAUGCGUGGUGUAGCGGUGAAAUGCAUAGAUAUCACGCAGAAUUCCGAUUGCGAAGGCAGCUUACUAAGCUACAACUGACACUGAAGCACGAAAGCGUGGGGAUCAAACAGGAUUAGAAACCCGAGUAGUCC
This 445-nucleotide ribosomal RNA is filed under the name uncultured bacterium. Its description in RNAcentral is "partial 16S ribosomal RNA". It matches the Rfam family "Bacterial small subunit ribosomal RNA", at positions 354 to 796 of the family's 1533-position model. The record is from RNAcentral.